This 230-nucleotide ribosomal RNA is filed under the name uncultured bacterium. Its description in RNAcentral is "partial 16S ribosomal RNA". It matches the Rfam family "Bacterial small subunit ribosomal RNA", at positions 104 to 334 of the family's 1533-position model. The record is from RNAcentral.
CGGGGUGGAGUAAUGUCUGGGAAACUGCCUGAUGGAGGGGGGUAACUACUGGAAACGGUAGCUAAUACCGCAUAACGUCGCAAGACCAAAGAGGGGGACCUUCGGGCCUCUUGCCAUCGGAUGUGCCCAGAUGGGAUUAGCUAGCAGGUGGGGUAACGGCUCACCUAGGCGACGAUCCCUAGCUGGUCUGAGAGGAUGACCAGCCACACUGGAACUGAGACACGGUCCAG